UGGGGAAUAUUGGACAAUGGGCGCAAGCCUGAUCCAGCCAUGCCGCGUGUGUGAUGAAGGCCUUAGGGUUGUAAAGCACUUUCAACGGUGAAGAUAAUGACGGUAACCGUAGAAGAAGCCCCGGCUAACUUCGUGCCAGCAGCCGCGGUAAUACGAAGGGGGCUAGCGUUGUUCGGAAUUACUGGGCGUAAAGCGCACGUAGGCGGAUUGAUCAGUUAGAGGUGAAAUCCCGGGGCUCAACCCCGGAACUGCCUUUAAUACUGUCAGUCUAGAGAUCGAGAGAGGUGAGUGGAAUUCCGAGUGUAGAGGUGAAAUUCGUAGAUAUUCGGAGGAACACCAGUGGCGAAGGCGGCUCACUGGCUCGAUACUGACGCUGAGGUGCGAAAGCGUGGGGAGCAAACAGGAUUAGAUACCCCCGUAGUCC
RNAcentral lists this ribosomal RNA (424 nucleotides) under uncultured prokaryote. RNAcentral's name for it is "bacterial SSU rRNA". It matches the Rfam family "Bacterial small subunit ribosomal RNA", at positions 355 to 796 of the family's 1533-position model. The record is from RNAcentral.